Molecule: long non-coding RNA, 1273 nt
Organism: Carassius carassius (crucian carp)
Lineage: Eukaryota; Metazoa; Chordata; Actinopteri; Cypriniformes; Cyprinidae
Exons: 3
Source: RefSeq, a predicted model, not a curated record
CAUAUGAACACUAUAGCAGCAGCAGUGACACACUGGAGAGUCACUGUGCCAGGAAAUGAGUGCAGGUGACAGUCUGUGUGGAGGAACAGUACUCAUUACUGGGGAACUGAGGUUUACUGUAUCUAACAUUCCCAGAAUUCCCUGGGCCCCCACUGACCUGUCAACACAUUCCUAAAGCUCCAUCCACUCUCUAAUUGGCUGCGACAUCAAUGCAUCCUGGUCCUGAUUGGCUCUCCUCUGAAAGCGCUGAGGCAACAUAGAACUUUACCAGCUCUGUUUACACGCAUCCCCUGUUGCCGUGACAACAUUGAAUGUUGCAAUGCAGCGAGUGCCUUGAAGCUCUGUCAUAUUUUUAUCCUGCAGAACCUCUCAACAUGAAUCAUUAUGUCACUAAGAAGAGUGUGGCAGAGAGCAUGCUGGAUGUGGUGCUGCUGAUGGCUAACGCCUCCCAGCUGAAAGCUGUCCUGGAGCAGUGCCCCGAGUUCAAGUACUACCUCACUGUCAUCAUCCUAAUCGCCGUGUCACUCUUCUUCCAAGUGCUCACGGAGGCUCUCUUUUUCCACAUGGGUGAGAGUGAAAUACAUCAUGUAUUAUACACAAAACGUGUAAGGUACUUAGAGGGUUGAUUUUGGUUAGCACAAAUCCAAAUCAGAUGUUUUAUAUUUAGAGAUUCCUUUUCAUACAAUCUUCCCUUUUCAGCAUGCAAAAACCUGAAUGACGUGGCCAAUCAGAGGAAGCUGGACAUAAUAAACAAUGUGGCAACUGUGCUGGUGUUUCUCACCGUCAUCAUCAACAUCUUCAUCACUGCUUUUGGAGUGGAGAAGACAGGUCUCUAUCCUAAGCAGUAAAAUGUUUGUGGGAUCAAACAGGUGAUACAGAAGAAAUCCCAAUGUUGAAUAUGUAUGCCACAAUAUGAUAAGCAAAUUGACUGAAUAAUGGUUUUUAUUUAUUUCUACGGAGGGCAUUAUAUUAAAGGGUUUAUAAAACAACAUACAUUUUUCAUAGACUGUCUAGUGAUUUAUAUUACCUAAAUUUACAUAUAAUGCAAAUUCAUCAUCUGUGUUCUUUACUUCAUACUGUCACAACUAUUAAUAAACAUUUAUUAUUAAAUACUCAAAUGUUUACCAUCCAGUUUAAUCUAUUUAAUUGAUCUCUGGCUCCUUUUCUGUAAAAAUGUCUAUGGAAUGUCCCCAUAAAACACGAAAACCCAACAAAUGUGUGCGUGUGUGUGUGUUUGUGUGUUUUAUACAGUACAACGGAGAUCAGAAUAGAG